Molecule: small RNA, 576 nt
Filed under: Pongo abelii (Sumatran orangutan)
Lineage: Eukaryota; Metazoa; Chordata; Mammalia; Primates; Hominidae
Description: processed transcript
Source: RNAcentral
AGCGCUCCUCCCCGCAAAUGACCCCGCCCUAGGACCCAGAAAUCAGGACUGGCUUGGUGUCUCAAGGCAACUCAGAACCAAAGCCUGGAACAGGCAGCUGUAUCCACAGUGGACAGAAGCCCAGAGACUUGACUGCUGGAGAGGUGGUCAAGUGUCCCUCAAGGUCAGUAAUGAUGGGCCUACACUGAUUGGCGCAAAUGCCUCCUUCUCUAUUGCCUUGAACUUCCCUGGAAGCCAAAAGGCAUUGCCAGAUGGGCAGGUUAUCUGGGUCAACAAUACCAUCAUCAAUGGGAGCCAGGUGUGGGGAGGACAGCCAGUGUAUCCCCAGGAAACUGACGAUGCCUGCAUCUUCCCUGAUGGUGGACCUUGCCCAUCUGGCCCUUGGUCUCAGAAGAGAAGCUUUGUUUAUGUCUGGAAGACCUGGGGCCAAUACUGGCAAGUUCUAGGGGGCCCAGUGUCUGGGCUGAGCAUUGGGACAGGCAGGGCAAUGCUGGGCACACACACCAUGGAAGUGACUGUCUACCAUCGCCGGGGAUCCCGGAGCUAUGUGCCUGUUGCUCAUUCCAGCUCAGCCUU